GAUCCUGGCUCAGAACGAACGCUGGCGGCAGGCUUAACACAUGCAAGUUGAACGGGAUUUGUAUGGUGCUUGCACCAUGUAAUGAGAGUAGCGCACUGGUGAGUAACACGUGGGAACAUACCUUGAAGUGGGGGACAACAGUUGGAAACGACUGCUAAUACCGCAUAAUCCCUGAGGGGGAAAGAUUUAUCGCUUUAAGAUUGGCCCGCGGGAAGAUUAGGGUAGUUGGUGGGGUAAAGGCCUACCAAGCCGACGA
Molecule: ribosomal RNA, 256 nt
Filed under: uncultured bacterium
Lineage: Bacteria
Description: partial 16S ribosomal RNA
Rfam family: Bacterial small subunit ribosomal RNA
Source: RNAcentral